RNAcentral lists this ribosomal RNA (460 nucleotides) under uncultured bacterium. RNAcentral describes it as "partial 16S ribosomal RNA". It matches the Rfam family "Bacterial small subunit ribosomal RNA", at positions 338 to 795 of the family's 1533-position model. The record is from RNAcentral.
CCUACGGGAGGCAGCAGUGAGGAAUAUUGGUCAAUGGACGAGAGUCUGAACCAGCCAAGUAGCGUGAAGGAUGACUGCACUGUGGGUUGUAAACUUCUUUUAUAAAGGAAUAAAACGAGGCACGUGUGCCUUUUUGCAUGUACUUUAUGAAUAAGGAUCGGCUAACUCCGUGCCAGCAGCCGCGGUAAUACGGAGGAUACGAGCAUUAUCUGGAUUGAUUGGGUUUAAAGGGAGCGUAGAUGGGUUGUUAAGUCAGUUGUGAAAGUUUGCGGCUCAACCGUAAAAUUGCAAUUGAUACUGGCAGUCUUGAGUACAGUUGAGGUAGGCGGAAUUCGUGGUGGAGCGGUGAAAUGCUUAGAUAUCACGAAGAACCCCGAUUGCGAAGGCAGCUUACUAAACUGUGACUGACAUUGAUGCUCGAAAGUGUGGGUAUCAAACAGGAUUAGAUACCCCUGUAGUC